GUCAGGAUGAACGCUGGCGGCGUGCUUAAUACAUGCAAGUCGAACGAAGACACUUUGACAGAUCCCCUCGGGGUGAAGAUGAUUGUGACUUAGUGGCGGACGGGUGAGUAACGCGUGGGUAACCUGCCUCAUGCAGGGGGAUAACAGUUAGAAAUGACUGCUAAUACCGCAUAAGCGCACGGGACCGCAUGGUCAUGUGUGAAAAGAUUUAUCGGCAUGAGAUGGACCCGCGUCUGAUUAGGUAGUUGGUGGGGUAACGGCCUACCCAAGCCGACGAUCAGUAGCCGACUUGAGAGAGUGAUCGGCCACAUUGGGACUGAGACACGGCCCAGACUCCUACGGGAGGCAGCAGUAGGGAAUAUUGCACAAUGGGGGAAACCCUGAUGCCAGCGACGCCGCGUGAGUGAAGAAGUAUUUCGGUACGUAAAGCUCUAUCAGCAGGGAAGAUAAUGACGGUACCUGACUAAGAAGCCCCGGCUAACUACGUGCCAGCCGCAGC
RNAcentral lists this ribosomal RNA (499 nucleotides) under uncultured bacterium. RNAcentral describes it as "bacterial SSU rRNA". It matches the Rfam family "Bacterial small subunit ribosomal RNA", at positions 23 to 518 of the family's 1533-position model. The record is from RNAcentral.